Molecule: non-coding RNA, 70 nt
Organism: Phrynosoma platyrhinos (Desert horned lizard)
Lineage: Eukaryota; Metazoa; Chordata; Lepidosauria; Squamata; Phrynosomatidae
Source: the annotation of a GenBank genome assembly
GCAAGCAUGGUGUAGUGGUUUCAGCACUGGACUAUAACUCUGUAAAUCAGGGUUCAAUUCCCUGCUUGGC